GGCCCCUUGGCCUAAUGGUAAGGCGUUGCUUUCCGGUUGGGGUAGCCCCUUUUAGCGAGGGAUCAACUACUGUUGCACUGCUGGCAAAGAUUCUGGGUUCGAGUCCCAGGGGGGUCG
Molecule: transfer RNA, 117 nt
Filed under: Niveomyces insectorum RCEF 264
Lineage: Eukaryota; Fungi; Ascomycota; Sordariomycetes; Hypocreales; Cordycipitaceae
Description: Sporothrix insectorum RCEF 264 tRNA
Rfam family: tRNA
About the family: Transfer RNA (tRNA) molecules are approximately 80 nucleotides in length. Their secondary structure includes four short double-helical elements and three loops (D, anti-codon, and T loops).
Source: Rfam by way of RNAcentral